RNAcentral lists this ribosomal RNA (468 nucleotides) under uncultured bacterium. RNAcentral describes it as "partial 16S ribosomal RNA". It matches the Rfam family "Bacterial small subunit ribosomal RNA", at positions 28 to 507 of the family's 1533-position model. The record is from RNAcentral.
GACGAACGCUGGCGGCGUGCUUAACACAUGCAAGUCGAACGGAAAGGCCCUGCUUUUGUGGGGUGCUCGAGUGGCGAACGGGUGAGUAACACGUGAGUAACCUGCCCUUGACUGUGGGAUAACUUCUGGGAACUGGGGCUAAUACCGGGUAGAAGCUCCUGCUGCAUGGUGGGGGUUGGAAAGUUUCGGCUGUUGGGGAUGGACUCGCGGCUUAUGAGCUUGUUGGGGGGGUUGUGGCUUACCAAGGCUUUGAAGGGUAGCCGGCCUGAGAGGGUGACCGGCCACAUUGGGACUGAGAUACGGCCCAGACUCCUACGGGAGGCAGCAGUGGAGAAUAUUGCACAAUGGGCGGAAGCCUGAUGCAGCAACGCCGCGUGCGGGAUGACGGCUUUCGGGUUGUAAACCGCUUUCGCCUGUGACGAAGCGUGAGUGACGGUAAUGGGUAAAGAAGCACCGGCUAACUACGUG